CGCCUCCUGCCAACCAUAGGAGGUCCAGCCUGCCCAGUGACAAAAUUUAACGGCCUCGGUACCCUAACCGCGCGAAGGUAGCAUAAUCACUUGUUCUUUAAAUAGGGACUCGUAUCAACGGCAUCACGAGGGCUAAACUGUCUCCCCUUUCUAAUCAAUGAACCUGACCUCUUCGUGAAGAGGCGAAGAUAUCCAUAUAAGACGAGAAGACCCCAUGGAGCUUAAAACUUAAUAACACCUUCUUACAUACAUACCAUAAUAUAUAAGAACCCUGUUUGACGUUUUUGGCUGGGGCAUCCGAGGAGAACAACACAACCUCCCCGACGAACCUACCUCAGAAUUACACCUCUAAGGUAUAGCAAACUAAUGUAACAUGAUCCGACAUUCGAUCAACGAACCAAGUUACCCUGGGGAUAACAGCGCAAUCCAUUUCAAGAGCCCCUAUCGACAAAUGGGUUUACGACCUCGAUGUUGGAUCAGGGUAUCCCAGUGGCGCAGCCGCUAC
This 505-nucleotide ribosomal RNA is filed under the name Phrynobatrachus tanoeensis. Its description in RNAcentral is "Phrynobatrachus sp. MFB-2017 partial large subunit ribosomal RNA". It matches the Rfam family "Bacterial large subunit ribosomal RNA", at positions 1817 to 2565 of the family's 2925-position model. Lineage: Eukaryota; Metazoa; Chordata; Amphibia; Anura; Phrynobatrachidae. The record is from RNAcentral.